AGGAAAUGAAGGCUUAGACAAUUAAUUAGAGACUGCUGGACGUGUUGUUUAAGAAUCUGGAUAAUUGAGUUCUAAUUUCUCCGUUCUCCCUACAAUUUGGUAAAUUAAAAAAAAAGAUUUUGAGAUGCAGUCUCAUUUAUGGCCAUUAAGGUGCAUUCCUCCUGGUUUGGCUACCAAGAAAAGAUUUCUCACUGUGUUUUACCUGCUGCAAAAUUGGGAAUUCCAGAAAUCUCACAGUGUCCAGAUGAAUUUUUCUUUCUGAAUCUGGGAUGCAGCACCCUUUUUUGAAAGACAAAGAGAGUAAAUUGUGGGAAUGAGAAGCUUGGAAGGGGCAGUGGUGAAAUGAUAGGAUUUUGCUGAGAUUUCAUUGAAUAUCUUGACUAUGAACCAAAACUUCUUUGCUUGUGGAGUGGAGAGAAAAGUGAAGGUAGCAUUUUCUUUCCUAUCUCUCAAAUUCCAACUGUGAAGAGUGAGACAGAGGCGUCUACGUGGAGCCAUUGGGCUGAAGAUUUUCAUCAACAGCAUCAGCCGUAUGAACUGGAAUAUGAUGGACACCGUUAUGGUGACAAUGAAGAGGAAAACAGCAACAUGUCAAUUCCCCACUCGGGGCAGUCAGAGGUCUCCAGAGAGGGGACAAGGGCAAGGAAGAAAGUGAAGAUGCAGUCCGCUCCGACUUAUUUAACAGGCCAGCUUGAACAGGGCAGUAGAUAAGCGAGUGUCACAAUUCCUGGUCCUUGGUUUCUUUAAUGCCAACCAUUUAUUUGAACAGAGGGCAAUUUGGGUAGGCAGCUACAUGAUUUAUUGCCAUGCUGACCUGAUCAGGGACUGCGAGAAGAGCAGUACUUCUGAGGUGUCCCAGAAGUUCUCAGACCUGCAUGGAUUUUGAUGGUUGAAUUUACAUAUUUCUGCAUAGCCAUAAAACACUCCUUCCUUUGUUCCUACUCAAGAUUCCGCCCAGGUCCCUGCCCAGUCCCUCCCUGAGGCAAUCUUAGGGAGCUGCCUAUCAGAGAACCUCAAUGGGAUCACGUUAUGGGGUCCUUUCAUUAUCAUAUAAUUAUACCCUGGGAGGCCCGGUGGUCCCUUUACGUUUCAGUUCUCUGGUGACAUUUCAUGUUAAGUUCAACUGUGUGCUUCUCACUGUCCUUGUACUUUUGGUUCUGGUUUUUGACGGAGGCCCCUUUUUCUUAGAAUAUUUUUUACUUUCAUUUUCUUGUUUCUAAAGCAGUAUGACACCUACUUUCUAUUACUUGUUAUUCUCCAUCAACGUCACUUAACAAGAAAGCUAAAAAUUAAUGUAUGCUUUAUAUAUUUAGUUUGUGUGUUGACAAAUAAAAAUGGCAAGCAAUAGGAUAUAUUGGAGAAUAUGAGGAAGCCAUUUGGUAUAAACCUAAUCCCCGCCCUGUCUUUCCAAAAG
Molecule: long non-coding RNA, 1414 nt
Organism: Equus quagga
Lineage: Eukaryota; Metazoa; Chordata; Mammalia; Perissodactyla; Equidae
Exons: 5
Source: RefSeq, a predicted model, not a curated record